RNAcentral lists this ribosomal RNA (495 nucleotides) under uncultured bacterium. RNAcentral's name for it is "bacterial SSU rRNA". It matches the Rfam family "Bacterial small subunit ribosomal RNA", at positions 26 to 507 of the family's 1533-position model. The record is from RNAcentral.
AGGACGAACGCUGGCGGCGUGCUUAACACAUGCAAGGUCGAACGAAAAAGACGGAAAGAGCUUGCUCUUUUCAGAAUUGAGUGGCAAACGGGUGAGUAACACGUAAACAACCUGCCUUCAGGAUGGGGACAACAGACGGAACGACUGCUAAUACCGAAUAGCUUCCAGAGAUCGCAUGAUCCAUGGAAGAAAAGGUGGCCUCUACCUGUAAGCUAUCGCCUGAAGAGGGGGUUUGCGUCUGAUUAGCUGGUUGGAGGGGGUUACGGCCCACCAAGGCGACGAUCAGUAGCCGACCUGAGAGGGUGACCGGCCACAUUGGGACUGAGACACGGCCCAAACUCCUACGGGAGGCAGCAGUGGGGAAUAUUGCACAAUGGGGGAAACCCUGAUGCAGCGACGCCGCGUGAGCGAAGAAGUAUUUCGGUAUGUAAAGCUCUAUCAGCAGGGAAGAAAAAAAUGACGGUACCUGACUAAGAAGCCCCGGCUAACUACGUG